This is a long non-coding RNA of Nanorana parkeri, 267 nucleotides long. RefSeq lists it as uncharacterized. The record is from RefSeq and is a predicted model, not a curated record. The transcript has 4 exons. Lineage: Eukaryota; Metazoa; Chordata; Amphibia; Anura; Dicroglossidae.
CACUGACAGCUCCACAACCCAGCCAAGGACUUCUCUGCAGCUCACCCCAUCCGACCGACCGGCCGACCUAACUAAAAAUGGCCAUCUACUGAGCUUUGAACCGUGGAACGUCUAUAGUUGUUUGUCUUUAUUUUUUUUUUAAUGAUACUGACAUUGUGAGUCCGGCCUCCAAACAUGUCUACUGAUGUAGAGUCUACGACCAGCACUUCAACUGAGGUGGCACCAGUCAGCAAACCUGCAACAAAGAAGGAAAAGAAAAAAGGUACC